Molecule: non-coding RNA, 270 nt
Organism: Drosophila melanogaster (fruit fly)
Lineage: Eukaryota; Metazoa; Arthropoda; Insecta; Diptera; Drosophilidae
Source: Ensembl
AAAUUGGAGAGUCUUGGAGCUGCUAAAACAUCGCUGGCUGCCACGAUAGUAUCGGUCGCUAGGUGCCAGCCGGUGCCAGCGAUGGACACACAACUAAAUAUCGAAACUCCUUUUUAUUAACCCUAUAAUGCCUGAAACCAAAUGUGUACAUGUCAAAAGCUAAAUAUGUUGGCCCAUCUUAGACAAAAAAGAAACCAUAAAUAACCCUCUGGAUAGGUAACGUGAAUUCCACCAAAAAUAUAAUUGUUAGAUCUUCUUGCUAGUUUAUGU